Molecule: ribosomal RNA, 253 nt
Filed under: uncultured bacterium
Lineage: Bacteria
Description: partial 16S ribosomal RNA
Rfam family: Bacterial small subunit ribosomal RNA
Source: RNAcentral
UACGUAGGGGGCAAGCGUUGUCCGGAUUUAUUGGGCGUAAAGAGCGUGUAGGCGGCUAGAUAGGUCCGUUGUGAAAACUCGAGGCUCAACCUCGAGACGCCGGUGGAAACCAUCUAGCUAGAGUCCGGAAGAGGAGAGUGGAAUUCCUGGUGUAGCGGUGGAAUGCGCAGAUAUCAGGAGGAACACCUAUAGCGAAGGCAGCUUGCUGGGACGUUACUGACGCUAAGGCGCGAAAGCGUGGGGAGCGAACAGG